Molecule: long non-coding RNA, 216 nt
Filed under: Elaeis guineensis (African oil palm)
Lineage: Eukaryota; Viridiplantae; Streptophyta; Magnoliopsida; Arecales; Arecaceae
Description: long non-coding RNA (EGUI_LNC054385)
Source: RNAcentral
CAUCGAAGUAGAUGAGCAGACCAAAGCUGGUCCGUCAGUGAUAGCCCAGCAUCGAACCUCUGCCAUCAAAGGUAGUAAGAUUACUCUCACUAGAAAGCUUCCCGAAGAGAUUCCACAUCUUGAGAAUAAUAUUAAUUUUAAUAAUAUUAUUAAUAAUAUUAUUAAAAAUAAUAAUAUUAUUAUUAUUAAUUUAAUAAUAUUAAUUAAAUAUUAUAG